Ochlerotatus camptorhynchus is the source of this 788-nucleotide long non-coding RNA. RefSeq lists it as uncharacterized. The transcript is spliced from 4 exons. NCBI's taxonomy places the organism in Eukaryota, Metazoa, Arthropoda, Insecta, Diptera, Culicidae. The record is from RefSeq and is a predicted model, not a curated record.
GGAGUUGCAACUUUGGCUGGACAAUUUUUGCUGGUUGAUGGAUAACACUUGACUGAAAAAGAGUGCAGUUACUGGUGUUCUAACUUAAAUCGGAUAUUUACUAGUCUAUUGAGUUACGACUUUGGCUUAAGACCGUGAGGACAAUUUCUGCUGGUUGCUGGAUAAAACUUGAAUGAAAAAGGGUGCAGUUACUGGUGUUCUAACUUAAAUCGGGUUCAACAUGACGAUGACGACGAACUCAAAUCAAUCACAAAUGAUUGAUGACCGAGAUCUAGAUCAAGAUCCCGACCAAUCCUUUGUGGUCAAGAUGCAGAAUUUCGUAAAACCUAGGUGGCUGAACCUCUUCCAGGCUGUCCUAAACUUUAUGGAAGCCAUCUUGAUCCCUGUACUCACAGGCCAUGAAAAUCAGCAGUGGGUUCAUCAGGGUUAAUAGCAUUAACAUAAUGCCAGACCUCGUGAAAAAAUGGUCAAUGUUCACUACUUGUCAGACGAUCGGACUAGUUUUAAACUUUUUAGCUCUGGUGGCUUGCUGCGUUAGUGCAGUGACGCGGUUGUGGUGGGUGGAUUGCUUCAUCAUUGUUGUCAUGAUAUUUAAUGCCAUCGUGUUGUUUAUCCAACCAUGGAAAUCGCAACGGAGCUGUACACAACUCGAUUGGAUGAAACUUUGUGCAGACAUAGUAGUAAUCCUAAAAUUCUGUCUCGAAAUGAAAUACAACGAAGAGUAUUGUAUCAUAUUGUAUCAGGCUAUUGUCAUUUGGAGAGCCGGUAGGCGGGUGUGGCUAAUAUAU